AGCGAACAGACGAGGAGCUUGCUCCUCUGACGUUAGCGGCGGACGGGUGAGUAACACGUGGAUAACCUACCUAUAAGACUGGGAUAACUUCGGGAAACCGGAGCUAAUACCGGAUAAUAUAUUGAACCGCAUGGUUCAAUAGUGAAAGACGGUUUUGCUGUCACUUAUAGAUGGAUCCGCGCCGCAUUAGCUAGUUGGUAAGGUAACGGCUUACCAAGGCAACGAUGCGUAGCCGACCUGAGAGGGUGAUCGGCCACACUGGAACUGAGACACGGUCCAGACUCCUACGGGAGGCAGCAGUAGGGAAUCUUCCGCAAUGGGCGAAAGCCUGACGGAGCAACGCCGCGUGAGUGAUGAAGGUCUUCGGAUCGUAAAACUCUGUUAUUAGGGAAGAACAAAUGUGUAAGUAACUAUGCACGUCUUGACGGUACCUAAUCAGAAAGCCACGGCUAACUAC
RNAcentral lists this ribosomal RNA (457 nucleotides) under uncultured Staphylococcus sp. RNAcentral's name for it is "bacterial SSU rRNA". It matches the Rfam family "Bacterial small subunit ribosomal RNA", at positions 65 to 504 of the family's 1533-position model. The record is from RNAcentral. Lineage: Bacteria; Bacillati; Bacillota; Bacilli; Caryophanales; Staphylococcaceae.